Molecule: ribosomal RNA, 433 nt
Filed under: uncultured bacterium
Lineage: Bacteria
Description: partial 16S ribosomal RNA
Rfam family: Bacterial small subunit ribosomal RNA
Source: RNAcentral
AACGAACGCUGGCGGCAUGCCUAACACAUGCAAGUCGAACGGCACCUUCGGGUCUACUGGCGCACGGGUGCGUAACGCGUGGGAAGCUGCCCUUAUGCUCGGAAUAACUCCCUGUAGGGGGUGAUAAUACCGGAUAAUUUCUUCGGACCCAAGAUUUAUCGCCCUUGGAAGGGCACGCGUUGUUUUAGCUAGUUGGUAGCGUAAAAGCCUACGAAGGCGUGGAUCCAUAGCUGGUUUGAGAGGAAGGUCAGCCACUCUGAGACGGGGAAACGGGCGGGAAUCCUGCGGGAGGGAGGAGUGGGGGAUAUAGGACAAUGGGGGGGAGGCUGAUGGAGUUAGGCCGGGUAAGUGAUGAAGGCGGGAGGGAAGUAAAGCACUUUUAUCCCGGAUGAUAAUGACGGUACCGGAAGAAUAAGCUCCGGCUAACUCCGUG